GGGCUCGAGAUAAAACGGACCGACACACUCCUCCCUCUAUUCAAUACAUUGAAUUACUCUGCGGGCUGAAAGUGCCACUGCUCACAAAAGACGAGGAUGUACGCGUUACUUAUCCAAGGGACCAGUAUCAAAGAGGACAGAGAAACUAAGUACGUGAGACGAGACUUAUUUUAGAUGAGCUGAAGCCUUGAAAACCGUCCGCGCUCACCGGCUCUUUUCUCCUUUGUUAUCGGUGUAAAACUUUGGCUCGGUCAGCAUUUACGGACGGGCCACCCAACCCUCACUCUUUACCUUUGAUACGGGUUAACCCCGUUUGACUGCCGAUGAACAGUUAAUCGUUGGAAGUGGAGAAGACAAUAUUCGACAUUACCGUUGGACCGCAAAAGUCAACCUCAAAUCAAAGAAAAGUGGAGACAGCCCCCAGACAGGUUACUUCAGAGUCAGUGGGAUGUUCGAGCGCUGGAAGGAAGACUGACUAAAGGAGCAUGGUGAAACACCAACCCCUCCAGGUCUAUGAGCGCCAGUUGUGUUUGUCAUGUAUCACUGGGAUCUACGGUUGCCGGUGGAAACGCUAUCAGCGUUCCCAUGAUGAUACCACCAAGUGGGAGCUGCUGUGGUCCCUCAUCCUCCUCUUUACCUUCUGUCUGCUGCUGGUCUGGUUCUACUUCUGGUGGGAGGCACAUAACGACUACAAUGAGUUCAACUGGUUCCUCUACAACCGCUCUGGGGAGUGGAGUGAUGGCACUGUUCCCAUCCUGGCCACCACUGCUGCUGGCUUCACCUAUAUUGCAUUUUUAAUGGUUUUAGCACUUUGCCACAUUGCACUAGGGCAACAGUUGAAUUUGCACUGGCUCCAUAAGAUAGGAGUGACCGCUGCUCUUCUCACCACCAUUGUUGGCGUUAUAUCUGUCAAUCAAACAUGGGGCCAGGAGUGGGACGUCAUCCCCAUCUCCCUACAGGCCACGGGGCCAUUCCUGCACAUCGGGGCCCUCGCUGCAGUUACAGCACUGUCUUGGAUUGUAGCUGGACAGGUUGCCCGCUCAGAAAAAACAAUGUUUCAGAUGGUGGUCAUGCUGCUAUAUCUCACUGUGUUACUGGGACUCUACGUAGUUCCCCUCUACAUUACCUCCCCAUGCAUAAUGGACCCCAGCUCCCUCAAACCACGUCCUGAUGUCAUCGGCCACCAGGGCGCCCCCAUGCUUGCUCCUGAGAACACGCUGUGGUCUUUCCAGCGAGCUCUACAGAUGAACGUCACUGGAUUCGAGGCUGAUGUCACCAUCAGUGAGGAUGGAGUUCCUUUCCUGAUGCGUGACCGCACUCUGCAGAGGACCACAGACGUCCUGAAGGUUUUCCCAGACAGACAGAUGAUUGAUGCUUCUUUCUUUAACUGGACAGAUCUGCAGCAACUCAACGCAGGACAGUGGUUCCUCAAGGGUGACCCCUUCUGGACUGUGCAUAUGCUGUCCCCCCGAGAAAAGGAUCUGAUUGCCAACCAGAGUGUGUGCAGCCUGGAGCGGCUUCUGAAACUAGCUUCCUAUCACAACACCACAGUGGUGUUCAAGCUGAAGAGACCUCCUCCAGAGCACCCCUGCUAUCUCAGCUGGAUCAAUGAUACACUGCAGGCUGUGCAGCAAUCUGGCAUUCCUCAGAGCCUGGUGAUGUGGACUCCAGAUGAAGACAGAGCAAUGGUGAAACGGCAAGAGCCUGGUCUGAUCCAGACUUCACUAGAGAAGCUGAGUCCUCAAAGUCUUGAUCAGUCUGGCAUCAGCAGGCUGCUGCUCAGAUACAACCAGGCUAACACACAGGAAAUCAGAAACUACUCCCAGAGCAAUAUCAACCUCACACUUUACACCAUCAACGAGCCUUGGCUCUACUCGGUUCUCUGGUGCAGCGGGGUGUCUUCAGUCUCCUCAGAGGCCCCUCAAAUCCUGAAAAAGGUGCCUUACCCAAUCUGGCUCAUGAGACCAGAUGAAUACUGCCUGAUGUGGGUGUCUGCUGACCUCAUCUCUUUUGCUGUUGUCAUUGGAAUAUUCUUUUUCCAGAAGUAUCGUAUGAGUGGUAUGCGUAGUUACAACCCUGAGCAGAUCAUGCUGAGUGCUGCAGUCAGGAGGUCCAGCAGAGACCUCAAUGUGAUGAAGGAGAAACUCAUCUUCUCUGGUCAACCUCAGUAGCAGCCUUUGUGAUGUACACCACCUCCUGUCCAUGCUACCACCAGUGUGACUUCUUCCUAUAUUUCAUUCAUCCAUUGCAUCCCUCGUUGCCUGCCACUCCUCUUUCUUCUGUGCCCCUUCUCCCCUUCAUCCAUUCAUCAUCCCUUCAUGCACCAAACCUCCCCCAUAAUUCUCCUGCUGGAAACACCAUCAUGUGUAGGGGAGCUUGUAGACGCCCCAAUCUGUCUAGACAGCCUGUAGUGCUGAGGGGCAAAGAGGUGGGGAAUGGAGUUGGCAGUGGUGAGGAGCUGUAUGCAGACAAUGGCUACGACUACUACACCAAUCAGGGCAUAAGCCAGUGAUUGGGACUCAUCUUUGUGAAGCUGUGACUGAGAUGACCACACCUGGUGUUCACGUUGUGAUGUUUCAGUCAGUUUGAGGUCCGUCCUCCUCUGUCCUGCUGAUGAACUGACAGAUCGCUCUACCUGACGGUGAAAAAAUCCUCCUGGUUACUUCAUGUACACGCUGUAAAUAGUUUUAUUUUUGCUUGUCAAAUAUACUGUAUAACACAUGGGAAUAAAUGCACUUCUUAUGAAUAGGACUCGCCAAAUCUGUGGCCUCCUCUCUCACAUGUAAAUGUCUGAGAGGUACCUUCGAGUUACCAUUGCCUGCUCCUUUUUAAUGAUAUGUUUUUGCAUUAUUUUGAGCUCAUUCUCCAAAGUUUUUCCUUGGUUUUAACCAGUCUACAUAAUAUUUUUAUCUUUAAAGAUCCAUAUAUUUAAAGAGGCUCUUUAAAAGCAUUUAUUGCUAAAGGAAACUAUUACAAUAACAGCUUUUUAUGCUUUUGCCUUCUGUCGACACUCAGCUGUGCUGUUGUUCACUUAAGUAUUGAUUUUAAUAUUUAUAUAUAAGAGAAAACUUUCAAAUCAAUCAGUUUACAGAAGCUCUGCCUUUUACUCCUAGUGAAAUAUUCACAUGGUGCAUGUAAGAUUAUUUACUAUUUUUAUAGAGGCUGAACAUCCCCAUUUCCCUACUUUUGAGCUAAUAUACACUCAGCAGCCACUUUAUUAGGUACACCUGUUCAACUGCUUAUGAACACAAAUAUCUCAUCAGCCAAUAGCAUGGCAGCAACCAAAGCUUUUAUGCAUAUAAGUAUGGUCAAGGUGAUUUACUGAAGCUAAAUCGAGCAUCAGAAUGGGUAAAAAAGGUGAUUUAAUGAGUUUGAAAAUGCCGUGGUUGUUGGUGUUUGAUGAACUGAUUAUCUAUUCUGAUUUUCAACCAAAAUAGUCUCUAGAGUUUACAGAGAAUAGUGAAAAAACAACACAAAAUAUCGAGUGAGUUGCACUUCUCUGAGCCAUAAUGGCUUGUUGAGAAUGGCCAGACUGGUUUUAGCUAAGAAAAAGCCAAAUACUGGCUAUUUUUGUUUGUUCGUUUACAACCAAGAUAUGCAGAAGAGCGUCUACAGCUGCAAAAAACAACACCAGGUGUCAUUCCUGUCAGCUAAGAACAGGAAACUGAGGCUACGAUUCACAUACACUCACCAAAUUGGACAAUAGAAGAAGGUAAAAAUGUUGCAUGCUCUGAUGAGUCUCAAAUUCUGUUGCGACAUUCAAAUGUUCUGGUCAGAAUUAGCAGAAAAAUGCCACAACUACCAACAACAAUUGCAUGUUGAAAUUCUCUCAAAUCAGUGGUUUUACAUGGGUGGGUCGAGACCCAGAAAGGGUUGUUAAGCUUUCUUUUUAAAAGUCUGUCAGGAAUGCAUGCAUGGCAAAAAUUCGGCCAAAAAGUCCAUUAUCCCCAAAUUUACAUUCAUUUUUUAAAGUUUUCCUGUGAUGACGAGUAAAUUUUGGUCUUUUCUCAAGAUUUUAACUCAUAUAUCUCUUUCCCCCCAAUAACAAAGCAGGUUUUCCCAAGAUAAUACAGAAAGAAAUCACCAAAUUUCCACACUGUCUUUGGAGUAAAUGGAGUAAAAUGAAAUGUAUGCAUGCAUGAUGUGCUCCAGUAGGUCUCAUGAGGAGAAUCUCUUUCUUUAAUCACUUUUCUUUCCCAUUCUGAUGCUACUUUUAAGGUUCAGCUCAUCACAAUGACCAUGUCUGCAUGCCUUAAUGCAUUGGUAACUAUCAUGCAGUUGGCUGAUACGCAUCAAUAGUGGCUGAGCAGGUGUACCUAAUAAAGUGGCCAGUGAGUGUAUAACACUAAUGAUGAUAUCAGUGUAUGUUUUUGUGCGAGCUGUGCUCCCAGUGAAACCAGAAGAACUGGUGAAAAUGUUUUUAGGGAGGGACUUAAGUGCUGUCUCUCUCUUAAAUGUGAGUGUUUGAUUGUUGGUCUGUUUUUUAAGGAUGUGUAUAUUGUAUUGUGUGUUCUCAGCUGGUGUAUAUUUUUAACCUUGUGUGCAGUGCUAUGCUGGGUGUUGUUGUACAUUAAAGGAGAACCAACAUGAGAGAUUUUAACCAACUAAGCAUUACAGUUAAACAAUGUGAUAGUAAUAGCAACAGUAAGGUCAAGAUGGAAGUAAUUUAUCAGCAUAGUCGGCCUCUGAACUGCAGUUAUUCUGUGGUCUAUUAGUGUUAACAUGCACGAUGCAUCUAUGUGUUGGUAACUGGUGUAAAUCUGAUUGCUGUAAAGCAGGGGUGUCCAAACUACAGCCUGGGGGCUAGCUGCAGUCUGGGGUCUAUUUUAGCAAAUUCUAUAGUGACGUUAGAACACAAAGCCCUCAGUUUUGACAUUAGGUGCUGCUGCUGUGUUCAUUUUAUAAAUAAACAAUUUGAAAUGAGGCUGUUGAUGUUUUUCAUGACUAACCUUAGACAAAUGUAAAUGGUAAAAAUUGGCAACCAAAAUAAUAUCUUUAUUCACAACGCCCUGAAUCAAGACAAAUCUGCUCAUUUGUCUUGCUGUCCUUUGUCUCAAUGUUGACUACAUUUUUUCCGUGAGGAAGACUAAACUAAGACUAGCUGAAAAUAGAUCUUUGGUGAUUAAAACUCUGGCAGAAAGUAGGUUUAGUUUUUGUCAAAGAGACUAAAAUGUUAGAGCUGGUCUUUUGGACAUUCAAAUCCACACGUCUCCACUGUGCAUACAAAGUAUGCCAGUAUUUUUGUCAGUGUUUGGUAAAACAUUAUUGACUGCUCUACAUUUAAUAUUGACUUUAUAGCAUGGCUUAUUCAAUUGGUUCAGAGAUAAAUGCUUUCUAAGGACUUUUAGUUGAAUAAAAAGGGAUUCAAAUGUUCAAGUUUUUGCCAACUAAAACUAGAGUAGAGCUAUAAAGGUUAAAAUGACUAAAAUGUGUCUAAAAGACAUUUUAUUGUUAAGACCAAGUUUAUAAAAGCUGCCAGCUGUGAUGUGAGCUUUUCAGUCACUACACAUUUCUUAACCUGCAUCGCUUUGACUAACUUUAAUUCUAAAGAUAAGGUUUAUCAGACAGUGGCUGUGUCAUCCUGAUAUUUUUCUCCAUGUGGCCCUCAAUGGAAAAGUUUGGACAUCCUUGCUGUAAGGGAACUGAAGUGGGUGCUAAAUGUGAAAAUAAAGCUCUUAGCUUAUUGAAGGGACGCUACAGGUAUCACAACAGGCAGCACGUGUUCAUGAAACUGAUUGCCUUUUGUGUUUUUUUUCUUAUGGUAUUACUGUGCCUCAGAAGUAACCAUUAAAAAAAUCCUCUCA
Cheilinus undulatus (humphead wrasse) is the source of this 5804-nucleotide RNA transcript. It is a transcript of the gene named glycerophosphodiester phosphodiesterase domain-containing protein 5-like, with no coding region annotated. The record is from RefSeq and is a predicted model, not a curated record. The transcript has 17 exons. NCBI's taxonomy places the organism in Eukaryota, Metazoa, Chordata, Actinopteri, Labriformes, Labridae.